This 676-nucleotide ribosomal RNA is filed under the name Phyllozyma producta. RNAcentral's name for it is "eukaryotic LSU rRNA". It matches the Rfam family "Eukaryotic large subunit ribosomal RNA", at positions 1 to 664 of the family's 3401-position model. The record is from RNAcentral. Lineage: Eukaryota; Fungi; Basidiomycota; Spiculogloeomycetes; Spiculogloeales; Spiculogloeaceae.
GACCUCAAAUCGAGUAGGACUACCCGCUGAACUUAAGCAUAUCAAUAAGCGGAGGAAAAGAAAACAAUAGUGAUAGGACUAGUAACGGCGAGUGAAGCUCCUAAAGCCCAACUUUAAAAUCUGGCGCCUUCGGCGUCCGAGUUGUAGUCUCGAGAAGCAUGGCUCGUGUCGGUCCGCGUCAAACUGGUUCGGAUGCCAGGUCAUAGAGGGUGACAAUCCCGUUGGCAACGCGGCCUCCCGAUGCAUCAGCAGUCUGCUCUCCAAGAGUCGAGUUGUUUGGGAAUGCAGCUCUAAUCAGGUGGUAAAUUCCAUCCAAGGCUAAAUAUCGGCGGGAGACCGAUAGCGAACAAGUACCGUGAGGGAAAGAUGAAAAGCACUUUGGAAAGAGAAUGAAAGAGUAUGUGAAAUUGCUGGAAGGGAAACGCUUGAAGUCAGAUACGCGCGGGGGUAUUCAGCUCGGUUCGCCGGGUGCAUUUGCCCUCAUUGCGCGCCAGCAUCGGUUCGUGGGGCCGCAGCAGCGCGGUGGGAAUGUGGCCAUCUCCGGGUGGUGUUAAGCCCGCCGUUGUGGUCGGACCCGUGGACCGAGGAUCGCAGCGCGCCGCAAGGCAGCCCUCGAGGGGGUAAAGCGCUUAGGAUGCUGGCGGAAUGGCUUUAAACGACCCGUCUUGAAACACGG